Molecule: small nuclear RNA, 107 nt
Organism: Protopterus annectens (West African lungfish)
Lineage: Eukaryota; Metazoa; Chordata; Ceratodontiformes; Protopteridae
Source: RefSeq, a predicted model, not a curated record
GUGCUUGUGUUGGCAACACAUAUACUAAAACUAUAAUGAAACAAAGAAGAUCUGCAUGGCCUUUGUGGUAGGAUGACACACAAAUUUGUGAAGUAUUGGUAUGUCUC